UCAUACGCUCAAAUUGUAUUU
This is a non-coding RNA of Caenorhabditis elegans, 21 nucleotides long. NCBI's taxonomy places the organism in Eukaryota, Metazoa, Nematoda, Chromadorea, Rhabditida, Rhabditidae. The record is from Ensembl.